GACAGUCGCGGCUGCAGGCCGAAAGGCCGCGGAUGAGGAAAGUCCGGGCUCCAUAGGGCAGGGAUAACGGGUAACGCCCGCCGAGGGUGACCUCAGGACAAGUGCAACAGAGAUAUACUACUGCGCAGGCAGGAAAGGUGAAAAGGCAGGCUCGCAGCCUGCCCGGCCCAUGGUAACAUGGGUUCUACGAUGUAAACUCUAUCCCGGAGCAACGCCGUGGAGGGACAACAGGCUGACCCGGCCGUCCCGAGGAGGCGGCUUGAUCCUGCGGGCAACUGCAGGGCUAGAUAGAUGGCUGUCAAGACAGAACCCGGCUU
Molecule: RNase P RNA, 317 nt
Filed under: Weissella confusa
Lineage: Bacteria; Bacillati; Bacillota; Bacilli; Lactobacillales; Lactobacillaceae
Description: RNase P RNA component class A
Rfam family: Bacterial RNase P class A
About the family: Ribonuclease P (RNase P) is a ubiquitous endoribonuclease, found in archaea, bacteria and eukarya as well as chloroplasts and mitochondria. Its best characterised activity is the generation of mature 5'-ends of tRNAs by cleaving the 5'-leader elements of precursor-tRNAs. Cellular RNase Ps are ribonucleoproteins.
Source: RNAcentral